Long non-coding RNA from Ostrea edulis (European flat oyster), 460 nucleotides. RefSeq lists it as uncharacterized. NCBI's taxonomy places the organism in Eukaryota, Metazoa, Mollusca, Bivalvia, Ostreida, Ostreidae. The record is from RefSeq and is a predicted model, not a curated record. The transcript is spliced from 3 exons.
AGCCGUAUUCACCAUCCCGAAUUUGUAGAUCGUCAAUCAAAAGGAAAACACAGAUUUCUAGCACUCGGAAGAAAGCGAAAAACAUAAACAAUCCUUAACAUUACUGUCCAUGUAUAUUUAGAUAACUUUUAAAAAUAUAUCUAUAAAGCUUUACACUGUAACAGUCAGAUUCCGGUAAUAGUUACAAGGCUGUGACGUCACACUCGAGUAGGCCGUCUGACGCGUCUGACGUAUGCAAGACAGCGAAUGUGAAAGUACAUAGAAACUCUACAGACUGAUGAGAAUUACUUUAGACGGGGUACGUCAACGAAUAGGCACGACAGCGAAAAUACGGAAGUCACUUCGGGGACGUGUCGCAGAAUCGCAUAACUCUACACGAGAUUAAAAGAAAGAAAGAAAAGACAAUGAAGACAACCAUGUAAAAACAAAUUCAAUCAAUUAAAUUAUCAGCAGAUUGAAA